UACAGAGGUCCCAAGCGUUGUUCGGAUUCACUGGGCGUAAGGGGUGCGUAGGUGGUAAGGCAAGUCAGGUGUGAAAUCUCCGGGCUCAACCCGGAAAUGGCAUCCGAAACUACCUUGCUAGAGGGUUUGAGGGGGGACUGGAAUACUUGGUGUAGCAGUGAAAUGCGUAGAUAUCAAGUGGAACACCAGUGGCGAAGGCGAGUCCCUGGAAAACUCCUGACACUGAGGCACGAAAGCUAGGGGAGCAAACAGG
This 253-nucleotide ribosomal RNA is filed under the name uncultured bacterium. Its description in RNAcentral is "partial 16S ribosomal RNA". It matches the Rfam family "Bacterial small subunit ribosomal RNA", at positions 524 to 776 of the family's 1533-position model. The record is from RNAcentral.